GUGCCAGCAGCCGCGGUAAGACAGAGGGUGCAAACGUUGUUCGGAAUUACUGGGCGUAAAGCGCGUGUAGGCUGCUCGGAAAGUCGGAUGUGAAAGCCCUGGGCUCAACCUAGGAAGUGCAUUCGAAACUUCCGAGCUGGAGUGCUGGAGAGGAAGGCGGAAUUCUCGGUGUAGAGGUGAAAUUCGUAGAUAUCGAGAGGAACACCGGUGGCGAAGGCGGCCUUCUGGACAGCUACUGACGCUGAGACGCGAAAGCGUGGGGAGCAAACAGGAUUAGAUACCCUGGUAGUCCACGCCGUAAACGAUGGGUGCUAGGUGUCGCGGGCUUUGACCCCUGCGGUGCCGUAGCUAACGCAUUAAGCACCCCGCCUGGGGAGUACGGCCGCAAGGCUAAA
This 395-nucleotide ribosomal RNA is filed under the name uncultured bacterium. RNAcentral's name for it is "bacterial SSU rRNA". It matches the Rfam family "Bacterial small subunit ribosomal RNA", at positions 505 to 898 of the family's 1533-position model. The record is from RNAcentral.